UGGGGAAUAUUGCACAAUGGGCGCAAGCCUGAUGCAGCCAUGCCGCGUGUAUGAAGAAGGCCUUCGGGUUGUAAAGUAAUUUCAGCGGGGAGGAAGGGAGUAAAGUUAAUACCUUUGCUCAUUGACGUUACCCGCAGAAGAAGCACCGGCUAACUCCGUGCCAGCAGCCGCGGUAAUACGGAGGGUGCAAGCGUUAAUCGGAAUUACUGGGCGUAAAGCGCACGCAGGCGGUUUGUUAAGUCAGAUGUGAAAUCCCCGGGCUCAACCUGGGAACGGCAUCUGAUACUGGCAAGCUUGAGUGUCGUAGAGGGGGGUAGAAUUCCAGGUGUAGCGGUGAAAUGCGUAGAGAUCAGGAGGAAUACCGGUGGCGAAGGCGGCCCCCUGGACGAAGACUGACGCUCAGGUGCGAAAGCGUGGGGAGCAAACAGG
This 429-nucleotide ribosomal RNA is filed under the name Chloroflexota bacterium. RNAcentral's name for it is "Chloroflexi bacterium partial 16S ribosomal RNA". It matches the Rfam family "Bacterial small subunit ribosomal RNA", at positions 355 to 776 of the family's 1533-position model. Lineage: Bacteria; Bacillati; Chloroflexota. The record is from RNAcentral.